UCAGCGACUUAUAUUCUGUAGCAAGGUUAACCGAAUAGGGGAGCCGAAGGGAAACCGAGUCUUAACUGGGCGUUAAGUUGCAGGGUAUAGACCCGAAACCCGGUGAUCUAGCCAUGGGCAGGUUGAAGGUUGGGUAACACUAACUGGAGGACCGAACCGACUAAUGUUGAAAAAUUAGCGGAUGACUUGUGGCUGGGGGUGAAAGGCCAAUCAAACCGGGAGAUAGCUGGUUCUCCCCGAAAGCUAUUUAGGUAGCGCCUCGUGAAUUCAUCUCCGGGGGUAGAGCACUGUUUCGGCAAGGGGGUCAUCCCGACUUACCAACCCGAUGCAAACUGCGAAUACCGGAGAAUGUUAUCACGGGAGACACACGGCGGGUGCUAACGUCCGUCGUGAAGAGGGAAACAACCCAGACCGCCAGCUAAGGUCCCAAAGUCAUGGUUAAGUGGGAAACGAUGUGGGAAGGCCCAGACAGCCAGGAUGUUGGCUUAGAAGCAGCCAUCAUUUAAAGAAAGCGUAAUAGCUCACUGGUCGAGUC
Molecule: ribosomal RNA, 535 nt
Filed under: Escherichia coli
Lineage: Bacteria; Pseudomonadati; Pseudomonadota; Gammaproteobacteria; Enterobacterales; Enterobacteriaceae
Description: partial 23S ribosomal RNA
Rfam family: Bacterial large subunit ribosomal RNA
Source: RNAcentral